UGAGGGACUCACAUGGUGUGG
Molecule: non-coding RNA, 21 nt
Filed under: Rattus norvegicus (Norway rat)
Lineage: Eukaryota; Metazoa; Chordata; Mammalia; Rodentia; Muridae
Source: RNAcentral